This is a non-coding RNA of Dipodomys ordii (Ord's kangaroo rat), 70 nucleotides long. Lineage: Eukaryota; Metazoa; Chordata; Mammalia; Rodentia; Heteromyidae. The record is from Rfam.
GGGAAGGUGGCUCAGUGGUAGAGUGCUUGCCUUGCAUACAUGAGGCCCUGGGUUCGAUUCCCCACUACCA